Molecule: ribosomal RNA, 433 nt
Filed under: uncultured bacterium
Lineage: Bacteria
Description: partial 16S ribosomal RNA
Rfam family: Bacterial small subunit ribosomal RNA
Source: RNAcentral
AACGAACGCUGGCGGCAUGCCUAACGCAUGCAAGUCGAACGAGACCUUCGGGUCUAGUGGCGCACGGGUGCGUAACGCGUGGGAACCUGCCCUUAGGUUCGGAAUAACUCCCCGAAAGGGGUGCUAAUACCGGAUAAUGUCUUCGGACCAAAGAUUUAUCGCCUUUGGAUGGGCCCGCGUUGGAUUAGCUAGUUGGUAGGGUAAAAGCCUACCAAGGCGACGAUCCAUAGCUGGUCUGAGAGGAUGAUCAGCCACACUGGGACUGAGACACGGCCCAGACUGCGACGGGAGGCAGGAGUGGGGAAUAUUGGAGAAGGGACGAAGGUCUGAUCAAGCAAUGCCGGGUGAGUGAUGAAGGCCUUAGGGUAGUAAAGCUCUUUGACCCGGGAUGAGAAUGACGGUACCGGGAAAAUAAGCACCGGCUAACUCCGUG